This 433-nucleotide ribosomal RNA is filed under the name uncultured bacterium. RNAcentral's name for it is "partial 16S ribosomal RNA". It matches the Rfam family "Bacterial small subunit ribosomal RNA", at positions 29 to 507 of the family's 1533-position model. The record is from RNAcentral.
AACGAACGCUGGCGGCAUGCCUAACACAUGCAAGUCGAACGAGACCUUCGGGUCUAGUGGCGCACGGGUGCGUAACGCGUGGGAACCUGCCCUUAGGUUCGGAAUAACUCCCCGAAAGGGGUGCUAAUACCGGAUAAUGUCUUCGGACCAAAGAUUUAUCGCCUUUGGAUGGGCCCGCGUUGGAUUAGCUAGUUGGUAGGGUAAAAGCCUACCAAGGCGACGAUCCAUAGCUGGUCUGAGAGGAUGAUCAGCCACACUGGGACUGAGACACGGCCCAGACUCCUACGGGAGGCAGCAGUGGGUAAUAUUGGACAACGGGCGAAAGCCUGAUCCAGCAAUGCCGCGUGAGUGAUGAAGGCCUUAGGGUUGUAAAGCUCUUUUACCCGGGAUGAUAAUGACAGUACCGGGAGAAUAAGCUCCGGCUAACUCCGUG